Molecule: ribosomal RNA, 446 nt
Filed under: uncultured bacterium
Lineage: Bacteria
Description: SSU rRNA
Rfam family: Bacterial small subunit ribosomal RNA
Source: RNAcentral
AGAGCGAACGCUGGCGGCAGGCCUAAUACAUGCAAGUCGAACGGACCCCUCGGGGUUAGUGGCGGACGGGUGAGUAACACGUGGGAACGUGCCCUUUGGUUCAGAACAACUCAGGGAAACUUGAGCUAAUACUGAAUGUGCCCUUCGGGGGAAAGAUUUAUCGCCAUUGGAGCGGCCCGCGUCUGAUUAGCUAGUUGGUAGGGUAAAGGCCUACCAAGGCUACGAUCAGUAGCUGGUCUGAGAGGAUGAUCAGCCACACUGGGACUGAGACACGGCCCAGACUCCUACGGGAGGCAGCAGUAGGGAAUCUGCGCAAUGGGCGAAAGCCUGACGCAGCCAUGCCGCGUGAAUGAUGAAGGUCUUAGGAUUGUAAAAUUCUUUCAGUCGGGGACGAUAAUGACGGUACCCGCAGAAGAAGCCCCGGCUAACUUCGCGCCAGCAGCCGC